UUACUUUUUUAGAGUUUUUUAAUUUCCUUUUAAGAGUUUUUCUUCUUUGUUUAUCUGUUUGAAGAUCUGAGAUCGCUAAAGUGAUAUUUGUGAUGAUCUGUUCAAUUUAAGUCGAUCAUUUUUUUCGUUUGUGUAAGUUAGUUUUCUAUCAUUUUUACUCUCGGUCCAAUUUAUCUUACAUUUGCAUGAGGUCCUUCUUUUGGUUCCAUGUGUCAUUUAAGUUGUCAAUAUGAGUAUAUUGAUCAAUCAUCAUGAUGGUAUAUCCCGAUGGUUUUUAUGAUUUUUCUAUAUGUAGAUAUAUCAUCCUAUGGAUUUAGAGGUGUUUUGGUGCUUUUAGAUUUCUUAAGUUAGGUCACAAAUGAAGGAAGUUAAUUAUAGAUUUUUGGAUGUUGAGAUUUGUUAAUCGGUAUUAUGAAUUAUGAAUGUGGUGUUUUAAGUUUUAUUUUGCUCUAUGAUGUUUAACUGUAAAAUGACAAAUAGUGUGAGCGCUUGAUUUGGCUUUAAAGUUAUGCAAUAUACACUUGUAAAAUUAUUUAAUCACUUGUAAAAUUAUUCAAUAUCCUAUAAUUCACUUUAUUUACUUCAUAUCCAAUGCAUUU
This 599-nucleotide long non-coding RNA is filed under the name Vigna radiata. Its description in RNAcentral is "long non-coding RNA (VRAD_LNC017946)". The record is from RNAcentral. Lineage: Eukaryota; Viridiplantae; Streptophyta; Magnoliopsida; Fabales; Fabaceae.